UCAGUUCUGUAAUGGUGGGUUUAU
Molecule: non-coding RNA, 24 nt
Filed under: Rattus norvegicus (Norway rat)
Lineage: Eukaryota; Metazoa; Chordata; Mammalia; Rodentia; Muridae
Source: RNAcentral